GCAAAGCUGUGAAUAAUGCCUAAGAGCAAAACUAAACCAGAAGUAAAUGACUUUUUUAAUGUGAGACCUUCAACCUCAAUUCCAGCUCCCCAGAGGCUGUCUUUGACUCCUUCUCACGUAAUGGCUCCCACAGAUGUCAACUGGGGAUAAAGACACUUCCACAAAGAAACUGAUGAAGAAACUGCUGCAGAGAAAGAAAUCUACGCUGAUGACUGGCCCUUGCUGCUGAGCCCUGGUUCCUAUCAGUGGAUCUUGAACAGCAUACAAGGAAUGCAGUUCUUUGGUACCAGACAUGGAUGUGCUGGUAUGCAAGCAUGCAUGAGUUCACAAGCGUUUGAUGCAUGAACACAGUUUAGCUCAUGAUCUUGCCAUCUGUAGUUCAAGACAGCUGCAAUUGCUGCACACUCUGACCAAGAAGGCAAGCUUCCCACCUCUGCCACUAAUACCAAUAGGUGACCAGAGAGAAUAUAACACUCCAAGUAACAGUUUCUUCUACUGCCCAUAAUGAAGACCUGUACAGCAAUCCUAGUCCAGCAAUCCUGUCCUGAAAUUAUCCUAUCAACUCACUGACUGAACCAUAAGUAUGAGAUGGCUACUGAAUUAAUUUGUGAACACACACUGUUUUCUUUCUUUCUGAAAACCUGAAACUGUUAGUAUGAUGAAGUUCAGCCAAAGUGUGUUAAAUACUAAAUGGCUUUUGAAGAUGAACAAUGUUAGUUUGGCAACAACAGAAAAGAUUUCCUUAGAGUAAGUUUUCAUCAUCACACAAAUUUUUCGUGUUCUACAAAAUAUACACAUUUUCAAAGAAAUAAAACCUGGGAUAAGCAUUUUUUUGUCUUGGGCCUGAAUGACUUUGUGUACUCUGACAACUUCUGUUCAGCUUACUGACAGGUUCAGAGGGGAAAACAAUUGCUCAGGACGGAAAAGGCAGGAACAACUAAAUUUUCCAAAUUAAAAUAUGAUCCAGAAUGAAUAUUGUCCAAAGCUUGACUUCAACUGAACAUACUUUUUUGCUUUUGACAUGUCCUGGGAUCGUUAACACACCACAGAAAAAUCCUGAUUUUAGAGGAUUUUACUUCUUUCUGGAAGUCUUUUCAAAGAACCUGUUUUCUAACAGCUGUUCUGUUAGUCUUGAUGAUUCAGAUUUAAGAGAAGCAUUGAUAGGCAAGGUAAACUUUUAAUAAGCAAUGUACACUGCAACAGAACUUGGAAACUUCAGAAAUUUAGGUUUAAAAUGAGUUUUCUUAUUGAAAGAGAGCAGGCCACAUGGUGAAGAAAUGUUUCUUUGCUAGUGUGUUUGAUACUUUGACUGUUACUGUGUGAAAUGUAAAUGCAAGUAUAAGACAAUUAAAUUCCAAUGUGAAGGAAAUAAAAACUUGUUCAUAAAUGAAAUGUGAAGAAUUUUAAAAUGUAUUUUCAUAUGAAACGGAUAUGAUCUGAAGAGCAGUAAGUCACAAAACAUAUGUUAUGCUAUUUUAAUUUCUUCAACAGAGAGAAGUGCCUUUAAAACACAGGUGAUCAUCUGCUGACA
Molecule: non-coding RNA, 1531 nt
Organism: Phalacrocorax carbo (great cormorant)
Lineage: Eukaryota; Metazoa; Chordata; Aves; Suliformes; Phalacrocoracidae
Source: RefSeq, a predicted model, not a curated record